CAGCAGCCGCGGUAAUACAGAGGGUGCAAGCGUUAAUCGGAAUUACUGGGCGUAAAGCGCGCGUAGGUGGUUUGUUAAGUUGGAUGUGAAAUCCCCGGGCUCAACCUGGGAACUGCAUCCAAAACUGGCAAGCUAGAGUAUGGUAGAGGGUGGUGGAAUUUCCUGUGUAGCGGUGAAAUGCGUAGAUAUAGGAAGGAACACCAGUGGCGAAGGCGACCACCUGGACUGAUACUGACACUGAGGUGCGAAAGCGUGGGGAGCAAACAGGAUUAGAUACCCGCGUAGUCCCUGUCUCUUAUAU
RNAcentral lists this ribosomal RNA (301 nucleotides) under uncultured bacterium. RNAcentral describes it as "partial 16S ribosomal RNA". It matches the Rfam family "Bacterial small subunit ribosomal RNA", at positions 509 to 809 of the family's 1533-position model. The record is from RNAcentral.